Molecule: non-coding RNA, 584 nt
Organism: Pelobates cultripes (western spadefoot toad)
Lineage: Eukaryota; Metazoa; Chordata; Amphibia; Anura; Pelobatidae
Source: the annotation of a GenBank genome assembly
CAGUAAACGAAGAAUUUUAGUGAAAUCUGAAUUGCAAACUGUAGACACCACUUCUUUGUUAAAUUUGUUCAUAUUUUUGUAAUUGUGGUUUACUCCAUUACAAAUAUAGAAGGAUUUGGCUCACUAACCCGGAGGGCUGACAAAUGAAUGCCCAAAUAUUCAUAAUGGAGAAAAAUCUGUAGCUUUAGACAAGUCUAAAUAACUAGCAGUCUAGUCAAUGAACCGAAAUGUGUUUUUAUUUGCAUCAUUUUCUGUUCUGGUUUGGGUCUUUUUAAAGUUUUUCACAAAGUGUCUAUGAAUUCUCCCCUAAGGAAUGUUGUAUACUGGCUUUGACCUCUGUAGCAGAAGGAAGCAGUUUCAGAGAGGAUUCUGUACAUAGACCAUAGAUUUUUGGUAACUGUUCACUUGAAAAGGGUUUAAAGGCUUAAAACUCCCAGGGGAGCACAUACCCCGAGAGUUGGUAAUUGUAGGGAUUUUCGCAUUAAAUGUUGCAUUACAGGCAAGAGGUUUGGGAAUAGAAUUUCUUCCUCGCCACAAAAUGCUGCCAUUGCGAGGGCUGAGAAUGCUACAGAGUGUCUUGUGAU